Molecule: ribosomal RNA, 130 nt
Filed under: Pogona vitticeps (central bearded dragon)
Lineage: Eukaryota; Metazoa; Chordata; Lepidosauria; Squamata; Agamidae
Source: RNAcentral
UUCUGUCACCAUACCACCCUGAAUAUACCUGAUCUCACCUGGCUUUUGAAGCUAAGCAGGGUUGAGCUCGUUCAUCUUUGGAUGGAGAGAUCAGAAAUAAAUACCAGGGAUCUCCAUGCAGGGCCAGAAG